CCCCCACGGUGGAACCCUCCACAGGUGCCAUUGAAGACAAAGGAGAGGCGGUCGGGCAGCAAUGGUGUGUAGCAGCAGCGACAACGAUGGACUCCGACGACAUUGUCUUCCUCUAUACUCAGCGGCAGUGUUGUAGUGGUCCAAUUGCAAGAUUGAGCCUAGCGGAGGUGAAUUUGUAAAGGAAAAAGCUAAUUUGAGUACUGAUUUGGCCGAAUUGAGGUAAGUGUCUUGCCUAACUUUUGGUGGGGGAAACAACCCCUUAGGAUUCGAGUUGAUUAUGCUAAGUGUGUUAUGUGAAA
Molecule: non-coding RNA, 299 nt
Organism: Nicotiana tabacum (common tobacco)
Lineage: Eukaryota; Viridiplantae; Streptophyta; Magnoliopsida; Solanales; Solanaceae
Source: RefSeq, a predicted model, not a curated record